Long non-coding RNA from Prinia subflava (tawny-flanked prinia), 1806 nucleotides. RefSeq lists it as uncharacterized. The record is from RefSeq and is a predicted model, not a curated record. Lineage: Eukaryota; Metazoa; Chordata; Aves; Passeriformes; Cisticolidae. The transcript is spliced from 3 exons.
GUUGUUUGUCUCCCUACUUGGCUGUUUGCUGCUGAUCCUGCACAAGCAGGAUCUCGGGAUCAUCUCAACCUCUCAGGAUCCCGUUUAUCUUAUAAAUUCUGCAUGUUUAUGUGCAGCCACUUCAGAUUGGCUCUCAAUCAUCCCAUUUUCUCAACAGCAGUGAGACAGCCAUUGCACCCUGGGUGCUUCCCGAUUUUGUGCAAGCUUUGUUCUGUCAUCUGACAAAUUAGCUUCUAGAGACUAGCACUGAAGAAAACAGGUGAAAAGAUACAAUAAGAGGACCAUGCAGUGCAGCUCUUCUGCUCUUGGCACAGAAGGAGAAAGUUCUUGAGACUAGCUCUGUUUCCUGUAAAUACAGAUACUGACAGGCUGCUGGUGAAAAUGCAACAGUUCCUGAGAGAAGAAGGAAACAAAGAAGUAAGCAUAUGGUUUGUCAAAAUAAACAAUGCUUAACUUCCUCCUUUCUGUGUCACAGUUUGAGGAACACAGAAAAAGAAAGGGUUGUGCUGAAUUUGUUGUAAACUAUCAGCGGGAACAAUCAGUCUUUAUAAAUCAUGUAGGUAGGGUAUGUCAGUGGUGCAGAUCAACUCUAUUUUCAAAAUAAAGCAUUCCAGAAAUAACAAGAAAAAAAGAAAAGAAAAAAAAAGAAAAAAUUGUUAAAAAAAAAAGGAUUUAAAGCCACAAAAGUGGAAUGCAGUGUUAUGCUUCAGGAAAACAGGUUUUCAAGACCUUCUAAUGCUCUGACUAUGUGAACAGAAUGAACAGUGUACUGAAAGGGACGGUGAUCAAGAGGUACUGAGGAUCUGAGUACGAGCUCUGCUAUUACCAUGCAAGUUUUCAAAACAAAGAAGGAACUAAAGGAAUAUAAACCACAGAACAGAUUCCUAUACAUUUUGCAUUUGAUUUUGCUUUGUCUGCCACUUUACUUGAUAGAGAAUUUCGGCUCCUACAUCUCCAAAGAGCUGCUCCUGUGUGUAGCAGUUGAACAACAAGAGGCAGUGACAGUGGUGGUAAUUCACACAAUGAUCAGUUGGUGUCUGGGUAGAUUAGAUGUUUACACAGCUAAAUUUGAGUGACUGCCCCCUUAAAAGUUAAUCACCAUUGGAAAACUCAAGUUCUCGUUUAGUCAUCCUUGCAAGAUAGUUGUGGAUAUUGGCAACCAAUGACAGGUAUUGCCAUUUUCAAAUUAAAAAAGGGCUGUGGGAACUUGGAACGUAUCAUGUCUGGAGUUAGCCUAGCCACAGCAGAACAUUAGGAGAAAUAACUCAUGGUCUUCGUUGGAUGAAGAAAGUGGAACGGCACUAUAAAGAGAUAUGAGACAAAGAGCGGUGUGUUCUAGAGAGGUACACAGGACUAUGGGUUUGACAGUCCAAGCAACAGAGAAGAAAGAGGUAGUAUGCAGUAAAAGUAAAAUAAUAGAUUUAGGAAAAGAGUUAUGUAUUGAUGGAGAUGGACAGAGAAGGUAUGUGGCCUGCUGUUCCUUCCUAAAGAUUACGAUUUUUAACAACUCAUGCAAAUAUUUGUGCUUGUCAUAAUGAGAAGACCCCACCAUCCUGAAUAUUGUACUUCCCAAAAAUCUUGAAGAAACAAAUAUCUUAAGACCCAAGUGUACCAACCAACUUGUCAUCAUGUAGAUAUUUCCUAAAUUCUUUAAGAAUCAAGCAUGUGUAACUUGACUUAAUGAUAAAAUAAAUAAUGUGAUUGAAUUCUGCAGUUGUGUAUCUCGAGGUAAGAAAAAAUAAAUUAUUGUGGUAUCUUCUGUUUUUUUAUCAAGAGCUUGGAAUGAAAGGCAUUUGUUACUUCUUU